Brassica rapa (field mustard) is the source of this 5659-nucleotide long non-coding RNA. RefSeq lists it as uncharacterized. NCBI's taxonomy places the organism in Eukaryota, Viridiplantae, Streptophyta, Magnoliopsida, Brassicales, Brassicaceae. The record is from RefSeq and is a predicted model, not a curated record.
AACACCAACAUUAAAUAUACACAAACUCGAUCGUAUAAUACUCUUUCUAUUCCAACUCUAAGAUACCUUUGUUUAUUACUUCCUUUGUUACACACAACGUGUCGUUUAUAGCUAUUAUUUUUGUUGAAAAGAAAGUCUGACAUUUUCAAAACUCUCUUAUUCAAAGCUAAUAAAAUUUAACUUAUAUCAUAAUAUAGUUAAUAGUAUAUAUACUCCUGUAUCGAGUAAUAAAAGUUCUUAAAUAAAUCUUUUGUUAGUGUUCAAAAAGUUUUAAUUCAAGGAAUUUUUUUUUAACAUUUGAUAUGUUUGUUAAUUAAGGUACGACUAUUACGAUAUAGUUAUAUCUAUAUUUAUAUGCUUAUGCUUCUGAGAUGUACCCACAACAUAUAAAUGUAUUUAAAUACAAUAUAGUAAGAUUACCUCGGGGAUGGCUGUUGCCAGACAGGUUCGGCAGUCAGAAGGGGAGGCGUCGCCGCGGCAUAGGCCCAAACCAUUGACGUUGUCAGGUUUGUUACCAGUCGAGAGAGCGGCAAAACCGCUUGAUGGAACACUGUAAGAGAGACGAGGAAAGAGACUGUUGAGGUUUGACUCGUACGGACUCCUCGAAGUGAAGUUCCCUUCAAUGUCAGAACACUUGUGGUAGAGGAACGCAUUGUCCUGACUUUGGGACAAAACGCUGUGUAUAAAGAGAAGUUGUAUGGCUAAAGCCAACAGAGAGAGUGAAACGCUGCGUUUAGACGAGGAGGAUGAAGACAUUGUUUUAGGAAUGUCGAUACUAGUUUUUUUUCUGGUAGGAGUAAUGUUGAGGUUCAUAUGGAUUAUAUAGUGCUGCUGAAUGAUCGUCGGUUUUGGGUGGUCUUUAAGUUAUUUAUUUAAUAAUAUUAUUAGAAGAGUUGAAGUGUUCAGUUUUGUACGGUUUGGAUUAGGGCGUAUUCAAAGCUUGAGAAUGGAUGUUUCUUUUCAACCAAAAAGUCAAUUUAGAUGAUUUGGCCUCAUCAGAUUCUAGAAUAAAAUAAAAAUGUGACGGUGAUGAAAAAGGGAGUUGACGCUUGGUAUUGAGGCCACGAGUGGGUCGAUGAACAUUCAAAACUUUGACUAAGUGUAACUCUUAAUACGUCCGGUGCCAACCUAACUUGAUGACAUACUAAACGAUGUUGAGGAUGUGUGUUGUUGACUUUCUAGAAACGAAUUUUUAUAGGGACACAGCAUAAAAUAUAGAGAAUAUAUAUAUGUAUCUUUUUUUUUAUCAAAAGUAUAAAAGUAUUUUAAUUCAUUUUUUUGGUCAUUUAUAUAAAACCAUAGAAACUUGAUAAACCAAUAAUGUAUAUCUAUCUAUAUAUUAUUAUAAAAGAGGAUUGAUCUCUCCAGGUGAAGCCACGUAGGCGGACACGUCAUAAAGUCGGCUUCUAUAAACAUGACAUGUAUCCUCUAAUUUAAAACGUUCCGUUUCACUAAUUUUGUGUUUCGGGGUGAUUUGAGCUUUAUUUAGAUAGACGUACAUUUCGUGGAAGUCCAUAUUUCGUUCGUUUGUUUUUUGUAUUGAUUUUACUAGUGGACUUGAAUUUUUUUUACGGAUAGGCUUUGAUUUACAUUAUUUGGGCUAAAAAUCAACAAAAAAGUAUUUCAUUUCACGCUCCUAUCCUCUUCUUACCUUCUCUUUAUCACGAGCGUUGAUCAUUGGUUUCUAGGGUUCAUCCUCUACUGCAAUCUCUGGUUAUGUCAACCAACGAUGGUGGUUUUUAAAGGUUUAGAGAAAUGAAACUUCCUGAGUAAUCAAUGCUUCAAUUUAGGUUCGUGUCGUUUAGUCUUAGAUUCAUCUUCUCCAAUACGUUACCGGAAGUAUUGAUGCAUUGCCAUUAACAACCAUUUCACAUUCAGUGCUUUUUAUCUGAGAAAGGCGGUGAAAUCUAUUAUUAUAAAAAAAGGUUUGAUCUCUCCUGGUGAAGUCACGUAGGUACACGUCAUAAAGUCGGCUUCUAUAAACAUGACAAGUGUCCUCUGAUUUAAAACGUUCCGUUUCGUUUCAUUAAGUUUUGUGUUUCGAGGUGAUUUGGGCUUUAUUUAGAUAGACGUACAUUUCGUGAAAGUCCGCAUUUCGUUUGUUUAUUUUGUCUAUUGAUUUUACGAGUGGGCUUGGAUUUUUUUUAUAGAUGGGCUUUGAUUUACAUUAUUUGGACUAAAAAUCAACGAAAAAGUAUCUCAUUUCAUGCUCCUAUCCUCUUCUCUCAUUCUCUUCUUCACGAGCGUUGAUCAUUGGUUUCUAGGAUUCAUCCUCUACUGCAAUCUCUGAUUAUGUCAACCAACGAUGGCGGUUUUGAAAGGUUUAGUGAGACUAAACUUCCUGAGUAAUCAAUGCUUCAAUUUAGGUUCGUGUCGUUUAGUCUAAGAUUUGUCUUCUCCAAUACGUUACCGGAAGUAUUGAUGCAUUGCCAUUAACAACCAUUUCACAUUCAGUGCUUCUUAUCUGAGAAAGGCGGUGAAAUCUAUUAUUAUAAAAAGGGUUUGAUCUCUCCUGGUGAAUCUACGUAGGUACACGUCAUAAAGUCGACUUCCAUAAACAUGACAUGUGUCCUCUGAUUUAAAACGUUCCGUUCCAAUAAGUUUUGUGUUUCAGGGUGAUUUGGGCUCUAUUUAGAAAGACGUGCAUUUCGUGGAAGUCUAUAUUUCGUUCGUUUGAUUUUACGAGUGGGCUUGGAUUUUUUUUACGGAUGGGAUUUGAUUUACACUAUUUGGGCUUAAAAUCAAUGAAAGGGUAUCUCAUUUCACGCUUCUAUCCUCUUCUCACCGUCUCUUGUUCAUGAGCGUCAAUCAUUGGUUUCUAGGGUUCAUCCUCUACUGCAGUCUCUGAUUAUUUCAACCAAAGAUGGCGGUUUUGAAAGGUUUAGUGAGAUGAAACUUUAUGGUAAUCAAUGCUUCAAUUUAAGUUUUGUCGUUUAGUCUAAGAUUCAUCUUCUCCAAUACGUUACCGGAAGUAUUGAUGCAUUCCCAUUAACAACCAUUUCACAUCCAAUGCUUCUUAUCUGAGAAAGACAGUGGAAUCUAUUAUUAUAAAAAUGGGUUUCAUCUCUUCUGGUAAAACCAUGUAGGUACACGUCAUAAAGUCGACUUCUAUAAACAUGACACGGUCCUUUGAUUUAAAACAUUCUGUUUCAUUAAGUUUUGUGCAUGCUUCGAGGUGAUUUGGGCUUUAUUUAGAUAGACGUACAUUUCGUGGAAGUCCACAUUUCGUUCAUUUGGUUUUUGUAUUGAUUUUACAAGUUGGCUUGAAUUUUUUUUAUGGAUUGGCUUUGAUUUACAUUAUUUGGGCUAAAAAUCAACUAAAAAGUAUCUCAUUUCACGCUCCUAUCCUCUUCUCACCUUCUCUUCUUCACGAGUGUCGAUCAUUGGUUUCUAGGGUUCAUUCUCUACUGCAAUCUCUGAAUAUGUCAACCAACAAUGGCGGUUUGGAAAGGCCUAGUGAGAUGAAACUUCCUGAGUAAUCAAUGCUUCAAUUUAGGUUUGUGUCGUUUAGUUUAAGAUUCAUCUUCUCUAAUACGUUACCAGAAGUAUUGAUGCAUUGUCAUUAACAACCAUUUCACAUUCAAUGCUUCUUAUCUGAGAAAGGCGGUAGAAAUUUACCUAUAAAAAAGUAAGCUUCAUCGCUUGAACCUCAUCCUCACAAUCCCUAAUAGCACUGGAGAUUUCUUUUUCAAUAUAAUGGCUAACUCAUCUAUCCUAAUCACUGAUUUGAAGGCUGGCCUACAUGUUCUUCCAUUGUCGAGGUGCAACUGAUCAAGUUUUAAGAUGUAAAAGCAUUGUCUUCUUCUAAUGAGUUUCAGUGAUUUGGAGAAGAAUAUGGGUAGUCUUCAGCUUCCUCUGUUUCUUUUGAAAGCACACAUAUUCUUGACUAAUGACCACUAUAUCUGAAAAUUUUAUUAACAACACUAUUUUAUCUGUUGAUUGUACGUUCUCUCCAUCUCCUUAAUUUCCCUUUUGUACAUUUUUCAGUGAAAUUUGAUUUCUUUUUUUUUCAAAUGUCCCUCUUCAAAUUCGAUCUUUUAUCUGUUUAUUAAUGAUGGGGUUUUAGAAAAGGAAUGAACUUUGCAAGAAUCUUCACGUAACCUGAGUAAAAAAAGUUUCCACCUUUCCAUUUGUGGGGAUCUUGACAAUGGCAGGUAAGGAGUCAGAGUCUAGACUACGCCUACCUCUGAUCUUGACAAGAUUCUGGCCUGUAUGCACAGUAUGUCUCUACUCAAAAGCAAUUUUGUAAUUGUUGUUGUUUUGAUGGAGGCAUCAAUUUUACUGUCUUUUGAGGCCUUCAUGUUGGAGAGUUUAAUUUGACAACAGUGAUCCAGAUUGCUCAGCUUGCUUUUAAGCAUUGCCAAAAUAAGAAUCAACGCGAAAGGAUUAUUGUUCUCGCUGUAAGGUAUUCACUUUCUUGCCUAUUUUUCUUUUUUAAAAGCUAUCGAAUUAGAAAUAAUUUAUAUUGGGCGUGAUUGGUUGGGUUGUAACUGUAGAAAAUUUACUUUAGCAUUUUGUCUGUAGGAUUUUUGAUUUAGCUUUAAGUGAUGUAGUUUUUAAAAUUUCCUACAGCUAAAAAAUAGGGUUUUAGAAAAUAAGAUGUUUACAUCUAUUUUUUGUGUGUUUUUUCUGUAGCUUUAAUUUUUUGGUUGUAGCUUUAAAAACCAAGAUAAAGCAUGAUUAGUAGUAUUUAGGGUUGUAGAUGAAAAUUAAAGCUAAAGUCACUUCCUACAUCCCAACUAAUCACCCCCAUUGUUAACAAAGUAAUCUUCAUUGGAAAUUUCUCCUCCAAUAUGCUAAAUCUGAUGCAAAGGAAUGGAAACAAGCAGAGAGCAUGGGAGGGGAUGAGCCUCAACAGAGGAGAAGAACAGCUAAGGUGCAGCGACAAAAUCAUUGGAUUCUGUCUCCUCGAGACUGGAUCAAAUGCAACACUGAUGGGUCUUUUCUCGAUGAAAAUCUAAUGGAACUGCAGGGUGGGUUUUACGUGACAGUGUAUUAACAGUGAAGGUAACUAUAAAGGAUGCUCUCAAGCAGUGGGAAGGAAGGUACAAAACCCUUUCGUAAUACAAGCCCUUUUGAUGGCAUUACAACAUUGUUGGGCUCUCGGAUCCAAAAAACAAUUAUCACGGAGGGAGACAGUAAAAAAGCUGUUGACGUAUUAAACAACAAAAUGCUACUCUUUGAACGAGGGAGAUCAAAUGGUGGUCGACUAAGUUUGAAGCAGUUUCAUUCUGAUGGACUAAAAGGGAGGCAGACAAAGUAGCAGAUUGAUUAGAAACUACUAGGCCUUUAGACAAUUCUUUUAAAUUUCAUUAUCAUGUAUCACAAUAUAUCACUAGUCUUUCUUCAUGAAGAUCAUGUAUUCUCGAUUGCAUAAACAUAGAUGUUAUAAAAAAAUAAAUUUUAUAUUUUUAAUUUGUGAUAUUUAUUCAAGAUUGUUGAAUGUUUUUACUGGAGAUAAAAAAAGAAGAUAAUGCUUUUGGAUCAUAAUGUUGGACUGAAGAUAUACUCAAAAUUCACAUAAAUCCUUAAACUGAUACAUUAGUGCUUGACAUUGUAAACGAAAUAUAAAAAUAAAAGAUUAAGUUAGAAAAUAUAUAAAAUUUUAUUUUUAAUAACAAUGUAAUAACCUGAUUGGUAUUUUGAAAAGAUAGUAAUU